RNAcentral lists this ribosomal RNA (253 nucleotides) under uncultured bacterium. RNAcentral's name for it is "partial 16S ribosomal RNA". It matches the Rfam family "Bacterial small subunit ribosomal RNA", at positions 524 to 776 of the family's 1533-position model. The record is from RNAcentral.
UACGUAGGCACCAAGCGUUGUUCGGAAUUACUGGGCGUAAAGCGAGUGUAGGCGGUUUACCAAGUCGGUUGUGAAAGCUCCCGGCUUAACUGGGAGGGUGCGACUGAAACUGGCAGGCUGGAGUGCGGGAGAGGAGAGUGGAAUUCCUGGUGUAGCGGUGAAAUGCGUAGAUAUCAGGAGGAACACCGGUGGUGAAGACGGCUCUCUGGACCGCUACUGACGCUGAGACUCGAAAGCGUGGGGAGCAAACAGG